GGCUGAAGAAUUAUAAGGAUUAAACACAUUUUUUCUAGAGGUUAUUGAUGUGUACACCGGGGCUCUUACUCACAAACUCAACAUAAAAGUCCGAAGGACUUUUAUUCAGUUUGUGAGUUAAUCGCCCCGGUUUACACAUCAAUAACCUCUAGAAAAAAUGUGUUUAAUCCUAUAGUAUCUCAACC
This 185-nucleotide small RNA is filed under the name Mytilus galloprovincialis (Mediterranean mussel). The record is from RNAcentral. Lineage: Eukaryota; Metazoa; Mollusca; Bivalvia; Mytilida; Mytilidae.